RNAcentral lists this ribosomal RNA (421 nucleotides) under uncultured bacterium. Its description in RNAcentral is "bacterial SSU rRNA". It matches the Rfam family "Bacterial small subunit ribosomal RNA", at positions 360 to 773 of the family's 1533-position model. The record is from RNAcentral.
AAUUUUGCGCAAUGGGCUAACGCCUGACGCAGCAACGCCGCGUGGAGGAUGAAGGUCUUUGGAUUGUAAACUCCUGUCAGCAGGGAAAAAGCGACUUAACUUAAUACGUUAGGGAGUUGAUUGUAUCUGCAGAGGAAGCCCCGGCUAACUCUGUGCCAGCAGCCGCGGUAAUACAGAGGGGGCAAGCGUUAUUCGGAAUUAUUGGGCGUAAAGGGCGCGUAGGCGGCCUUGCAAGUGACGGGUGAAAUCCCUCGGCUUAACCGAGGAACUGCCUGUCAGACUGUAGGGCUUGAGACCGGGAGAGAUGAGUGGAAUUCCCAGUGUAGCGGUGAAAUGCGUAGAUAUUGGGAGGAACACCAGUGGCGAAGGCGGCUCACUGGACCGGUACUGACGCUGAUGCGCGAAAGCGUGGGGAGCAAAC